RNAcentral lists this ribosomal RNA (480 nucleotides) under uncultured Methanosaeta sp. RNAcentral describes it as "bacterial SSU rRNA". It matches the Rfam family "Archaeal small subunit ribosomal RNA", at positions 862 to 1338 of the family's 1478-position model. Lineage: Archaea; Methanobacteriati; Methanobacteriota; Methanomicrobia; Methanotrichales; Methanotrichaceae. The record is from RNAcentral.
UGAAUUGACGGGGGAGCACCACAACGGGUGGAGCUUGCGGUUUUAAUUUGGAUUUCAACGCCGGAAAUCUUACCGGGACCGACAGCAAUAUGAAGGCCAGGCUGAAGACUUUGCCGGAUUAGCUGAGAGGUGGUGCAUGGCCGUCGUCAGUUCGUACUGUGAAGCAUCCUGUUAAGUCAGGCAACGAGCGAGACCCACGCCCACAGUUGCCAGCGUACUCUCUGGAGUGACGGGUACACUGUGGGGACCGCCGCUGCUAAAGCGGAGGAAGGAAUGGGCAACGGUAGGUCAGUAUGCCCCGAAUAUCCCGGGCUACACGCGAGCUACAAUGGUUGGUACAAUGGGUAUCUACCCCGAAAGGGACGGGAAUCUCCUAAAACCAAUCUUAGUUCGGAUUGAGGGCUGCAACUCGCCCUCAUGAAGCUGGAAUCCGUAGUAAUCGCGUUUCAACAGAACGCGGUGAAUACGUCCCUGCUCCUU